Molecule: ribosomal RNA, 474 nt
Filed under: Neisseria subflava
Lineage: Bacteria; Pseudomonadati; Pseudomonadota; Betaproteobacteria; Neisseriales; Neisseriaceae
Description: bacterial SSU rRNA
Rfam family: Bacterial small subunit ribosomal RNA
Source: RNAcentral
AUUGAACGCUGGCGGCAUGCUUUACACAUGCAAGUCGGACGGCAGCACAGAGAAGCUUGCUUCUUGGGUGGCGAGUGGCGAACGAGUGAGUAAUAUAUCGGAACGUACCGAGUAAUGGGGGAUAACUAAUCGAAAGAUUAGCUAAUACCGCAUAUUCUCUGAGGAGGAAAGCAGGGGACCUUCGGGCCUUGCGUUAUUCGAGCGGCCGAUAUCUGAUUAGCUAGUUGGUGGAGUAAAGGCCUACCAAGGCAACGAUCAGUAGCGGGUCUGAGAGGAUGAUCCGCCACACUGGGACUGAGACACGGCCCAGACUCCUACGGGAGGCAGCAGUGGGGAAUUUUGGACAAUGGGCGCAAGCCUGAUCCAGCCAUGCCGCGUGUCUGAAGAAGGCCUUCGGGUUGUAAAGGACUUUUGUCCAGGGAAGAAAAGGAUAGGGUUAAUACCCCCUGUCUGAUGACGGUACCCUGAAGAAUA